CAGCCGCCACGGUAAUACGUAGGUGGCAAGCGUUGUCCGGAAUUAUUGGGCGUAAAGGGCUCGCAGGCGGUUUCUUAAGUCUGAUGUGAAAGCCCCCGGCUCAACCGGGGAGGGUCAUUGGAAACUGGGAGACUUGAGUGCAGAAGAGGAGAGUGGAACUCCACGUGUAGCGGUGAAAUGCGUAGGGAUGUGGAGGAACACCAGUGGCGAAGGCGACUCUCUGGUCUGUAACUGACGCUGAGGAGCGAAAGCGUGGGGAGCGAACAGGAUUAGAUACCCGUGUAGUCCCUGUCUCUUAUAC
This 301-nucleotide ribosomal RNA is filed under the name uncultured bacterium. RNAcentral describes it as "partial 16S ribosomal RNA". It matches the Rfam family "Bacterial small subunit ribosomal RNA", at positions 509 to 807 of the family's 1533-position model. The record is from RNAcentral.